This 36-nucleotide transfer RNA is filed under the name Rhodomonas sp. CCMP768. RNAcentral describes it as "partial Selenocysteine transfer RNA". Lineage: Eukaryota; Cryptophyceae; Pyrenomonadales; Pyrenomonadaceae. The record is from RNAcentral.
GUGACUGGCUCGGGCUUCAAAUCAAGUGGCGGGGAC